UUUCGUCAUCAUUACUUAAACAUUUGGUUCCAUCCGAAGCAGGGUGUGUUCUUCGGGAAGUUCACAAAGAUAUUCGUGACAAUUAUUUAGCCCGAAGUUGUUGACCUACAAAGCACUUCGGUAGCGAUAUUCUUGAAAGAACUGGGGAUUCAGCACAGAAAGAUUUUGGGUAUUCUACUUUGGACCCAUCUCCCACUAUUGAGGAAUUUCGGGCGCCGUCCGAAGCUGCAAAUGUUGUUUGGAGGGUUCAUGUGGAUAUUUGUCAGCCAAAUGGUUCGAUCCCACAUCAGCCACCAAAAGGCUAUAUUUCGAUUUUAUCUCCUAUACCUCUUGCUGUCUGGGGGGUAGUCGUACUGGGUCCAUUGUCUAGGGAUCAGGUUAACAAACGCCAGCUCAUGGGAUCGAAGUUUAAAACAUUCAUAAGGAACUUCCGUAGCUCAUCCAUAUUCUGACAGGCACAACAAAUGCCACCUCGGAGUUAGGAGGAUCGGGAGGACUCGCUGACCAUUCGAUGGUAGCCUCUUCGGCAGGUGGUCACUUUGGCAUUGUCAGGCCCUUCGGGGUAGACAAUUGUCGCCACUAUUUGGCAUUGUCAGGCCCUUCGGGGUAGGCAAUUGUCGCCAC
This 624-nucleotide long non-coding RNA is filed under the name Panax ginseng (ginseng). RNAcentral's name for it is "long non-coding RNA (PGIN_LNC017829)". Lineage: Eukaryota; Viridiplantae; Streptophyta; Magnoliopsida; Apiales; Araliaceae. The record is from RNAcentral.